GUCAUGGCUCAGGAUGAACGCUAGCGGCAGGCUUAACACAUGCAAGUCGAGGGGCAGCAUAAUGGUAGUAAUACUAUUGAUGGCGACCGGCGGACGGGUGCGUAACGCGUAUGCAACCUACCCUUUACAGGGGGAUAACACUGAGAAAUCGGUACUAAUACCCCAUAAUAUUCUGGGAGGCAUCUUUCGGAGUUGAAAGCUUUGGUGGUAAAGGAUGGGCAUGCGUUGUAUUAGCUAGUUGGUAAGG
This 247-nucleotide ribosomal RNA is filed under the name uncultured bacterium. RNAcentral's name for it is "partial 16S ribosomal RNA". It matches the Rfam family "Bacterial small subunit ribosomal RNA", at positions 16 to 257 of the family's 1533-position model. The record is from RNAcentral.